This 102-nucleotide ribosomal RNA is filed under the name Cuitlauzina pendula. RNAcentral describes it as "partial 18S ribosomal RNA". It matches the Rfam family "Eukaryotic small subunit ribosomal RNA", at positions 1730 to 1831 of the family's 1831-position model. Lineage: Eukaryota; Viridiplantae; Streptophyta; Magnoliopsida; Asparagales; Orchidaceae. RNAcentral also lists the same sequence under 127 other names. The record is from RNAcentral.
UCGCCGCCCGUGACUCGGCGAGAAGUCCAUUGAACCUUAUCAUUUAGAGGAAGGAGAAGUCGUAACAAGGUUUCCGUAGGUGAACCUGCGGAAGGAUCAUUG